AUUGAACGCUGGCGGUAUGCUUAACACAUGCAAGUCGAACGGAAACGAUGGAGAAGUUUACUUCUUCAGGCGUCGAGUGGCGGACGGGUGAGUAAUGCAUAGGAAUCUGCCCUAUAGUUUGGGAUAACUACUCGAAAGAGUGGCUAAUACCGGAUGUGGACUACGGUUUAAAGCAGGGGACCUUCGGGCCUUGCGCUAUAGGAUGAGCCUAUGUGGGAUUAGCUAGUUGGUGAGGUAAAGGCUCACCAAGGCGACGAUCUCUAGCUGGUCUGAGAGGAUGAUCAGCCACACUGGGACUGAGACACGGCCCAGACUCCUACGGGAGGCAGCAGUGGGGAAUAUUGGACAAUGGGCGGAAGCCUGAUCCAGCAAUACCGCGUGUGUGAAGAAGGCCUUCGGGUUGUAAAGCACUUUUGUCAGGGAGAAUGGCAGUUGAGGUUAAUACCCUUAGCUGUUGAUGUUACCUGAAGAAUAAGCACCGGCUAACUCCGUGCCAGCAGCCGCGGUAACAC
This 512-nucleotide ribosomal RNA is filed under the name uncultured bacterium. RNAcentral's name for it is "bacterial SSU rRNA". It matches the Rfam family "Bacterial small subunit ribosomal RNA", at positions 30 to 526 of the family's 1533-position model. The record is from RNAcentral.